Molecule: long non-coding RNA, 2802 nt
Filed under: Marmota monax (woodchuck)
Lineage: Eukaryota; Metazoa; Chordata; Mammalia; Rodentia; Sciuridae
Source: RNAcentral
UGUAAGCUUACUGUUGCUCUUUUUUUACAAUUUUUGUUUGUACAUUAAAUUUCUGGCAAAUUUGUCAAUUGAAUGUCUCGUUAGUUUCAUUUUUUCAUCUCUUAACAACGGGUUAACAUGAAAUUUGGCAUCUUCUGUUUUCCUUCAGGAAAGUCAUAUCCCAAAACUUAUUACACCUGCAGAAAAGGGAAGGGAUCUAGAGGCACGGCUCAUAGAAGCUUAUAUUAUCCAGUGUCAGGCUGAAGCUCAAGAAGGUAUCCUAAAUAUUGUAAGAUUUUUCUUGUUUUUAUUUUGGAGAAAGUCUAUAUUUGCAUUUAAUUAAUCUUUUUUAAAUAAUCAGAAUUAGCUGCAAUUGAGUUUCAGUUUUUAGAAAUUUCAGGAGGAAUAAUUCUACCUUUGACAUUGAACUAGCAGGAACAGAUCUUACAACUUAAUGACUCUUUUUUUAAAGAGGAUUUUCAUUCCCUGCCAUUUCUGACAGUACAAAACUAGUUCUUUAACUCUUUGUUUCCCCAACUACCACGUUCAUUCUUUUUUCUCUUCCACUGUUUGGUUUAGUUUGAAGUCUUUAUCUUUUCAGUGGCAAGAAACAGUGGGACUUAUGUGAUAACAGGAAACAACUUUCUAAGCUUUUGGAUUUUUUCCAAAUGCCAGUGCUCUGAAAGUAUGUUUUAUAUCAAUCUACAUUGUAGUAAUUCUCUGCAGUUAACUAGUAGUUGGCUAUUGAUUUAUUUAAUGAAAUGGUAACAGAACCAACAAGCUGUGUUUUCUGUUUGUAUUUGCAUUUUCUAUUCUUUUCAUAGUAAAACUUAACAAUAAUUGUUUGAAAACCCAAAAAGAUUAUCAGACUUUCUUUUGCUAUUAAAACUGAACUUACUCUGAGUGGAAAAGAAUGUAAUUAUAGGUUCCUUUUAUUGUGUGUUGGUUUUAGUAACAAUUGCCCGAGCAAUUGAACUUAAACAUGCUCCUGGACUAAUUGCUGCACUGGCAUAUGAAACAGCCAAUUUUUAUCAAAAAGCUGGUAAGCUAAUUCUGUUGUUAUACUUUUAUUCUUUAUAUUUUCAGAUUUAUUUGCUUUUGAUUGAAUAGGAAACAGAACAAAAAGAUUCUAAGUUUUCCAUUAUUUGCAAAACUAGAAUCGUAUCUUCAUUACUUCAUUGAUGUUUAAAGAAUUAGAGUUGCUCACAGUUAAUAUGCUACAUAACUUUUAAUGGAAAGGACAGUGCUGUACUUUUUAACCAGUCAUCUAAUAACUAUAUGGUCUUUUGCUUUUAAGUUUUUGAUCUUUACUGUAAUCUUGUAAUUACUAUCCUUUCUUAGAUGAGAAACAAACCAAAGAGUUAACAUGAUCAACCCAAAACUUAACUGCUAACAGGUGGGAGGUUGAGACCAGAACACAUUUCCUCUAAUUAUCCUAUUAUUCUUUUCAUUUACUAAUUUAAGAGCUUUGCAUGUGUUUCUUUUUAUGAGAUGGUUACUAUUUUACUUGCUGAGUAGAGAUAAGUUGAAUAAAUUCACAGCUGAGGGGAGUAGACAAACAUGUAAUUAUAUUAUUGUAUCAUGAGUUUUAUGAUGAUGUUACAGCAGUGAGAUGAGAACCUCAACAGUCUGGGCAUGCUAGAGAAGGCUUUCUAGAGGAAGGUUACAUCUUAGUCUCAUUUUGAAAUAUACAUAGAACUUUUUGUUAUGUUUCUUAGAAAGCAUUAGUGUGUGAGAAUAGAACAUUUUAUGCUAUUUACAAUUUUAAGAAAGAACUUAGCACAUUUUGGCACUUUCAGACAGUUGUAGCUGAAACACAGAAUGAGUAAAACGAGAAGAGAUUGGGAAAAUACAUUUGUGUGAGAUAAAGAAGUGGUUUAUAAGCCUACCUAAAAAGUUUGGCCUUGAUUCUGUAGAUAUUUGGAAUCCAUUUUAUCUUAACCAGUGAGUCUGACUGGAUUUGAUUUGAAUUUAAGAAAGAUCUUUCUGGUUGCAGUAUGAGAUAGGCUUGCUGCAUGAAGUAGUAGGCUGACUUAGCACUUAAGAAGAAAUUCUGCCUUUGGAAAAGGAGAAAAUUUGGAAGCAACAUUAUUUAAAAUUCUUGGUCCAUAUCUAUUUUUAUCUAUGUUUUUGUCUUAAUCAUCAAAUCAAAGAAAUGCCAUGGUAUUUAACUAACCCUAUUAUGUAGCUUGAAAUAUAAUUAUGGGAAGCUAAGUCAUUUUUAAUAAAGAAGGUUUUUUAAAAUCUAUAAAUGCUUGAGUCUUAGACUUGAAUGGCAUUCUGCUUUUAGCAUGAAAAUACAUGAACUAAAAGUCUUCUAGUGAAUCAGGGUGAAAUUAUGUUUUACUUUUUAAAAUGUAACUUUAGAUCAUACUUUAUCCAGUUUGGAGCCUGCAUAUUCUGCAAAAUGGAGAAAAUAUCUUCACUUGAAAAUGUGUUUCUACACAGCUUAUGUAAGUAUUAAUAGCCCUAAAUAUGAUGUAAAUUACUCUCUUUCCAUCCCCUUAAGUGCCAGGUCUCUCAUCUUACCAAAGUCUUAGCAAUUUGCAAAUAACGAGCAGUUCUGAGUAAAUGUUCACUGACAUUGUAGCCAUUGUGAACUAACACAGGUGGAAAGAGAUGAUGUAGAAUUGUAGACCUAGAUUAUAGCAGUGGAGUUGCUGUUUGAUUCAAAACUCCCUAUAGCCUUCUAUGUGCUUAACAAAAAUUUUCUCAAGUACAGUUGACUAAGUCUAGUCUUAAGGCAUAUCAUAUACUAUACAUAUCACCUAGAUUGGUGAACCAUUACUACACACUAUUUAUCUGCUUAUUAUACCCACCAAA